GUUCAUCUAAGGAACAGAAGCUGAUUUCUGCUGCUAUCAGAACACAUGCUGGACUUGUUUACAUACAGGCUGAGUUUAGCACAAUCAGAGGGGCUUAAUGGAUUUAUACAUAGUAAAAUUUAGGAUCAAGGCAAAUAAAACUAUUUCCCAACAUUGACUACAGUUUCAUCAUGUUUUCCUCCUCCUCUGGACUGAAGUAGACAUCAGGUACUCAGGAGACAAACCCUGGCAGUUUAACCCAGCUGUGGCCAGGACGCUUCCGCUAAUUAAUGAAGCUCAACAACUACAAACACAACACAUUGUAGUGUUUCUAUUAGACAUUUCCUGUCUUUUUUUUUUACCACUUAAAUAUGUGAUGCACAAUUAAAAAUCCAUGCUGGACUGUAUAAUUUCACUGUUUUCCAUUUUGACAAAUUAACCAGCAUACAAAUUAUUCCCAUCCUCCCUGGCUUUACUAAAAGGAAUCCACUGGCAGGAAUGCACCUUUUGACUGUUAAACUGGCAUAUGGAUUGUUUU
Cyprinus carpio carpio is the source of this 517-nucleotide long non-coding RNA. NCBI's taxonomy places the organism in Eukaryota, Metazoa, Chordata, Actinopteri, Cypriniformes, Cyprinidae. The record is from Ensembl.